RNAcentral lists this ribosomal RNA (440 nucleotides) under uncultured bacterium. RNAcentral's name for it is "partial 16S ribosomal RNA". It matches the Rfam family "Bacterial small subunit ribosomal RNA", at positions 338 to 795 of the family's 1533-position model. The record is from RNAcentral.
CCUACGGGAGGCAGCAGUGGGGAAUAUUGCACAAUGGGGGAAACCCUGAUGCAGCGACGCCGCGUGAGUGAAGAAGGAUUUCGGUACGUAAAGCUCUAUCAGCAGGGAAGAAAGUGACGGUACCUGUCUCAGAAGCCCCGGCUAACUACGUGCCAGCAGCCGCGGUCAUACGUAGGGGGCAAGCGUUAUCCGGUGUUACUGGGUGUAAAGGGAGCGUAGACGGCAGCGCAAGUCUGGAGUGAAAUCCCAUGGCUUAACCUGGGAACUGCUUUGGAAACUGUGCAGCUAGAGUGCAGGAGAGGGAAGCGGAAUUCCUAGUGUAGCGGUGAAAUGCGUAGAGAUUAGGAGGAACACCAGUGGCGAAGGCGGCUUACUGGACUGUAACUGACGUUGAGGCGCGAAAGCGUGGGGAGCAAACAGGAUUAGAUACCCGAGUAGUC